RNAcentral lists this ribosomal RNA (466 nucleotides) under uncultured bacterium. Its description in RNAcentral is "partial 16S ribosomal RNA". It matches the Rfam family "Bacterial small subunit ribosomal RNA", at positions 30 to 507 of the family's 1533-position model. The record is from RNAcentral.
CGAACGCUGGCGGCGUGCUUAACACAUGCAAGUCGAACGGAAAGGCCCUGCUUUUGUGGGGUGCUCGAGUGGCGAACGGGUGAGUAACACGUGAGUAACCUGCCCUUGACUUUGGGAUAACUUCAGGAAACUGGGGCUAAUACCGGAUAGGAGCUCCUGCUGCCUGGUGGGGGUUGGAAAGUUUCGGCGGUUGGGGAUGGACUCGCGGCUUAUCAGCUUGUUGGUGGGGUAGUGGCUUACCAAGGCUUUGACGGGUAGCCGGCCUGAGAGGGUGACCGGCCACCUUGGGACUGAGAUACGGCCCAGACCCCUACGGGAGGCAGCAGUGGGGAAUAUUGCACAAUGGGCGGAAGCCUGAUGCAGCAACGCCGCGUGCGGGAUGACGGCCUUCGGGUUGUAAACCGCUUUCGCCUGUGACGAAGCGUGAGUGACGGUAAUGGGUAAAGAAGCACCGGCUAACUACGUG